AUUAAAAUCCCCACGUCUUCAAAUUAUCUUCUUGGUAUUCAAAAUAAGAAACCUUUUUUUUUUCUUUCAAAAUUUAGUUUUUCCAUUUUUUUUUUAAUUUUAUUCUGCACUUAUGCUAAUACAUAUUGAUAUUACUGAAUUAGUUCAAUCAAAUAUGACAAAGUAUGCCAUUUUAUUAGCAUUGGUAAGAAAGGAGGCAAAUAUGCAUGUGUUUAGCUCUGUUUCUAGCUAAAACCUUGUAUUCAGAGGCCUUUCACUUUUUUCUUCUAUUUAUUGUCAUUUUUGGAGUAAGACCUUGGAAGAAGAUAGAGCAAUAAAUAUCUCACAAGGGUUUCUAGCCAAUUUUCUUCACAUUUCAACGUGAAUUGAAUUGGAAGAGAAAGAAUAACUUACAAUCGUGGAUGAACUUCCUCAGGGGGUAUCAAGUGGACUUGGAGAAGGUGUUCGAAAAGCAGAUAAUUGUGCAUAGUUUCAGCUACAACUUUAGCUACCUACAUA
This is a non-coding RNA of Arachis ipaensis, 498 nucleotides long. The record is from RefSeq and is a predicted model, not a curated record. Lineage: Eukaryota; Viridiplantae; Streptophyta; Magnoliopsida; Fabales; Fabaceae.